Molecule: ribosomal RNA, 354 nt
Filed under: Triticum aestivum (bread wheat)
Lineage: Eukaryota; Viridiplantae; Streptophyta; Magnoliopsida; Poales; Poaceae
Description: partial small subunit ribosomal RNA
Source: RNAcentral
AUGCCCAUGCUAACUCGGCGCCCCCUUGCGCCCGCGGCUCCACGGCGACUUCCUCGACACCGGCCACCCCGACUCGACAUCGACCACGGCAUUCUUCGCACGGCUACCUCGACCACGGCUCCACCACACACGCUCUCGGCUACAUCGACAAACGGCACAAAGGGCUACCGCCUGCUUGAGCAACCUCGUCGGUUUCCACUCCAGUCACGACAUCUACGAUGCGUCGACCGUUACGACUGUGGGGGGUGUCCGUCGGCUUGCCUUCGGAUUCUUCUCCAAUCUCACCGUUUGCGUCGCUACCGUUGUGACUGCGGGAGGAUGUUGAGUAUAAGAUUAUUAGGAAGUAUAGGAUAG